This 275-nucleotide ribosomal RNA is filed under the name uncultured bacterium. Its description in RNAcentral is "partial 16S ribosomal RNA". It matches the Rfam family "Bacterial small subunit ribosomal RNA", at positions 338 to 605 of the family's 1533-position model. The record is from RNAcentral.
CCUACGGGGGGCAGCAGUGGGGAAUUUUGCGCAAUGGGCGAAAGCCUGACGCAGCAACGCCGCGUGGGUGAUGAAGGUCUUCGGAUCGUAAAACCCUGUCGUCAGGGACGAAGGGUUGCGACCUAAUACGUCGUAACUUUGACGGUACCUGGAGAGGAAGCCCCGGCUAACUCUGUGCCAGCAGCCGCGGUAAUACAGAGGGGGCAAGCGUUAUUCGGAAUUAUUGGGCGUAAAGGGCGCGUAGGCGGUGAUUUAAGUGAGAUGUGUAAUCCCCG